AUGGUUUUGCGCCGUGCUGGGCGAGUUGGGAGCAUCUGGCGAGGCGCGAGCGGCACAAGGGGUCCGACAGUGACACUGUGCGGGUGCACAAGGGACUGGGAUCUAUCGUCUGGAGGUCGUGCAGUGGCACGGGGAGGUGCUGCUGUUGGUGCGGCAUGGUGGAGCAGUCUUGUGGUGAUGGAGCACGGCUGCAUCUUUGUCCGUCGAAUCUGCUGUCUCUGUCCUCCGGUGGGCACGCGUAUGGAGCUUGGACGUGGCUGGAAACCGAGGUGGUUCUUGCCCUCGGGUUGCACACCUCUGGUCACUCGCCGGCAUGGUUCUCGGCAAGGCAUGGUGGUUUGUGCUGUGUCCGAUGGCCUGGCUUCCGGUCGACGGUUGACAGAUUUAACGGCUGGCGCUGCAUGUGGCCGCCCGUUGGCCUCCGCAAGGUGUGGUUGGUCUCUCCGGCGGCGGGCUUCUUUGACUUCGGUGGAGUUGUUGAUGGCGGUGCGGGUAGGAUGUUUGGAAGCUUUGGUGAAGACCCUGUAUGUCUUGGCUUCGGUAGGUGACCGGUGA
Molecule: ribosomal RNA, 555 nt
Filed under: Triticum aestivum (bread wheat)
Lineage: Eukaryota; Viridiplantae; Streptophyta; Magnoliopsida; Poales; Poaceae
Description: partial small subunit ribosomal RNA
Source: RNAcentral